UACGUAGGGUCCGAGCGUUGUCCGGAAUUAUUGGGCGUAAAGAGCUCGUAGGCAGUUUGUCGCGUCUGCUGUGAAAUCCCGAGGCUCAACCUCGGGCCUGCAGUGGGUACGGGCAGACUGGAGUGCGGUAGGGGAGAAUGGAAUUCCUGGUGUAGCGGUGGAAUGCGCAGAUAUCAGGAGGAACACCGAUGGCGAAGGCAGUUCUCUGGGCCGUAACUGACGCUGAGGAGCGAAAGCGUGGGGAGCGAACAGG
Molecule: ribosomal RNA, 253 nt
Filed under: uncultured bacterium
Lineage: Bacteria
Description: partial 16S ribosomal RNA
Rfam family: Bacterial small subunit ribosomal RNA
Source: RNAcentral